This 887-nucleotide ribosomal RNA is filed under the name uncultured Flavobacteriia bacterium. RNAcentral's name for it is "bacterial SSU rRNA". It matches the Rfam family "Bacterial small subunit ribosomal RNA", at positions 58 to 939 of the family's 1533-position model. The record is from RNAcentral. Lineage: Bacteria; Pseudomonadati; Bacteroidota; Flavobacteriia.
CAAGUCGUGGGGCAGCAGGUCCCGCAGCAAUGCGGGAUGCUGGCGACCGGCAAACGGGUGCGGAACACGUACACAACCUUCCUUUAAGUGGGGAAUAGCCCAGGGAAACUUGGAUUAAUACCCCGUAACAUAUAGAAGAGGCAUCUCUUUCAUAUUAUAGCUACGGCGCUUGAAGAUGGGUGUGCGGCUGAUUAGGUAGUUGGCGGGGUAACGGCCCACCAAGCCUACGAUCAGUAACUGGUGUGAGAGCACGACCAGUCACACGGGCACUGAGACACGGGCCCGACUCCUACGGGAGGCAGCAGUAAGGAAUAUUGGUCAAUGGACGCAAGUCUGAACCAGCCAUGCCGCGUGGAGGAUGAAGGUCCUCUGGAUUGUAAACUUCUUUUAUCUGGGACGAAAAAAGGGAAUUCUUUCUCACUUGACGGUACCAGAUGAAUAAGCACCGGCUAACUCCGUGCCAGCAGCCGCGGUAAUACGGAGGGUGCAAGCGUUAUCCGGAUUCACUGGGUUUAAAGGGUGCGUAGGUGGGCUUGUAAGUCAGUGGUGAAAUCUCCGGGCUUAACCCGGAAACUGCCAUUGAUACUAUAAGUCUUGAAUACCAUGGAGGUGAGCGGAAUAUGUCAUGUAGCGGUGAAAUGCUUAGAUAUGACAUAGAACACCAAUUGCGAAGGCAGCUCGCUACGCGGUUAUUGACACUGAGGCACGAAAGCGUGGGGAUCAAACAGGAUUAGAUACCCUGGUAGUCCACNCCCUAAACGAUGGAUACUCGACAUCAGCGAUACACUGUUGGUGUCUGAGCGAAAGCAUUAAGUAUCCCACCUGGGAAGUACGACCGCAGGGUUGAACUCAAAGGAAUUGACGGGGUCCGCACAAGCGGUGGAGCA